Molecule: unclassified non-coding RNA, 254 nt
Filed under: Sicyos australis
Lineage: Eukaryota; Viridiplantae; Streptophyta; Magnoliopsida; Cucurbitales; Cucurbitaceae
Description: partial miscellaneous RNA
Source: RNAcentral
ACAACUUCCCUCUAGACCUAGCUGCUGUUGAAGUUCCAUCUAUCAAUGGAUAAGAUUUGGUCUUAAUGUAUACGAGUUCUUGAAAGUAAAGGAGCAAUAACCAAUUUCUUGUUUUCUCAAGAGGAUUGGUAUUGCUCCUUUAUUAUGAAUAAAUUUUACAUAAGUUUUUUUUAUUUCUACUUUUGUAAUUUCUACUUAUACAUAGUUAGUUAUAAGGUAGGGGGGGCGGAUGUAGCCAAGUGGAUCAAGGCAGU